UCAGAACAGGAAGUAUGAUAUUCCGUGAAAGCAGUGAUACGAGACAUCCUUGCUCUGAAACAUUUUGGCCUGCAAAAUUCCCACUAAUGUCACCUUUGUUCAUUACACAUAUCUGGUUCCUGUGGAUUUAUCAUUGACUCAACCCUAAACUCUUCACCAUUAUUGGACUCUUCUCUCAAGACAUCCAGGUACACCGAACAUUCUGUCAAUUGCAUCUUCUUCAAGAAAUAUGGCUGCAGCCUUCAAAUGCACUCCAGGCAGGACUGGUGGCCAUCUACGUCCAAAGCACCGUCUCAUCCUUGGCUGUCCCUUCACCCUCCUCCCAGGGAGUCUCUCUGUUUCUCUCCUGUGCUGGAUUCCCUGUUUCCUGUGCCCCAUCUUCCUCUUUCUGAGCUUCCUCCCUUAUUUGUGACAAGUGCAUCCUUCACCAGCAAAUCAAAG
Ailuropoda melanoleuca (giant panda) is the source of this 441-nucleotide long non-coding RNA. RefSeq lists it as uncharacterized. The transcript has 3 exons. The record is from RefSeq and is a predicted model, not a curated record. Lineage: Eukaryota; Metazoa; Chordata; Mammalia; Carnivora; Ursidae.